AGAAAGGAAUAGAAAUAGGGAGAAAGAAAAUUAUAGAGAGAGGAGGAAAGUUCUAGAGAGAGAGAAGGAGGUAGCCGCCGCUCCGGCCACGAGGAGUCCGGUUCCGGCCGAGCCUUCUUCAUGAAAUCUUCACAGAACUUAGAAGAGAACAUUCUUAACUUUUAGAUCAUCGAAAACCAUCAAGAAAUGAGGAAAAAUCUAAAGAGGAUUACGCUCAAAACCUGAGAAGGAAGUUGUAAUCGAUUCAGAUCGGAAAUGGGAGUUUCGGCGUUCGUCAAAGAGGGUUUAAAUGAGAAAAUUCAGUAUUUGUGGACACUCUACUGGUGUAGAAAUGCUCAACGAAGAACACGCGUCAAUCGGGUGCCGGUCGAGGUGGAGGAGCGUUCGAGAGCUGUGCGGUCACAGAGGGGGUCGUUCCGGAGCGUCAGUCCCUUGUCGGUCUUUUCGAGUCUUUUGUGUUUCAUUUUACAUUUGUAAUUUUCUUUGUAAUAAUUUCGAAACAAAUCUUCUCUCUCUUGUUUUAACCAAAUGGAGUUUUUAUCUUUUUACUUUUCUCUUCUUCUAUUUUCUUUUUGUUUAUUUUCGAUUUCGUCUUUUAGUUCACGGUCUGAUUUUCGAAGCCUUGAAAAUCGGGUCUUGACAGAUUGGUAUCAGAGCAGUCGGUUUUUGAUUCUGUAGACUUUAUUUUUAGGAUAGAGAGUCGUACACCUCUGUGACUCAGCUCGACAACACGCCUCGCCGCGACCAGGUAUGCAGUCUAACCCUGUUUAGUAGAUUAUGUUAUGAUGUAAAGCAUGGGAAUUUGAUGUUUGUCUUAGGUUAUGUGGUAGCUAUGAUUAUGCCUUAGGGCGAUAAAUAAUGAAUGAUCACUCUAUACGUCAAUGCUAGAUACGAGUUAUUGCGAGGAGGCCGAGAGAGGUCAUGUUAUAGCUUACUAGCCUUAGGGAGAUAGAGAGAUGACGUCGCAGAGUGCGAGACGUCCAAAGAUGAACAUGAGACUUUCUAAGGCCUAGUACGAGGUGAAUUACCUAGGACCCAGCCUCCUGUGACCAUAAUUCUUGAUGACAAGCAUGCCUCCGUGGAGAGCAUGUAGAAGGCUUAGACAGUAUAGAGCAUGCCUUAGUAUAAACCACAAAGGUAGACCCAAGCAAUAUUGUUCGUACAACCAAAGACGAUCACUAUAGGAAUUAAAUACCCCUCAAGCAAACCAUUACCUCAACUGAGUUUUGGUUAAGUCGGGAAGUCGAGAGAUAAAAUUCACCAACAAUGAGAGUGAAGCGAUGAAGGUCAUGACUUCAAGGUUUGAUUGGAGUCUUCACAGGCUAAAUUCAAGUUUAUGGACUUCCAAAAGUGUGAUGUGCCCUUUUAUGCCACUAAUGGGAUAUGGGGUGUAGGAUAUUCCUAUGGAUGGAUCACCUAAUGGAUGACAAGUCGUUUUGGACCCUGGAGUAGAGGACCGAGUCCAAUAGCAGCACGUGGUUAUGAGGAUCAUAUGAACGUGUUCUAACUUAUUCUUGGUCAGAACAUACAUGCUUACAAACGUGAAAACUGUUAAGGUAAUCCAGUGAACCUUAAGAUUAAGAACAGCAGGAAAAAGCGGUCAAGCUAUGGCCAUGCCUUCGUGUCUGGAGGGAGAAAGUUCAUAUGCAUGUUAGUAAGAACCAACCCUUGUUUAGGUUAUCUGGAUUACAAAGAGUAGAACUCUAUUUUUACACAUAAGUGUAAGACCAUACUUGUGAAGCAUGCUCAGACAGAAGUAGAGACGCUAGAUAACGUGAGAUUGGAAACUACCUGAAGAGUAGUGAGAUGGUGAUAGUACAUUAGUAAGGGAAGCAGAAGACAUAAUGCGUCUUAGGGAAAACCUUGGACAUAGAUAAAAGUAUCCUCAGAGCUUGAGGAAGACUAGUUACCAAACAAGAGUUUUUAGAGAGUUUCAUAGGAUCCUUUACAAAAACUUGAGAGAUGCACACGCACGAGCCAAUAUAAGAUAUGACUACGAAAGGAAAUGUGACUUGAUCAACCAUAAGACACUACAGGAGUUGACCUAAGUGAAUGUAGAGGACUUAUACGAGGAACCUUUACUUUCAAAAGAGCCUGCAUUUAGCUCAGAUGAGUAUUAGUACUCAGGCGAGCUACAUGACAAGUUAUCUUGUUGUGAGGAAAGACCUAUGUUGGCCAAUUGGGAGCUAAUUACGAGACCAUUCUUGGUGAAGUAGUAGGUUUGUAAGGGUCUCGACAAGUUUAGGAUACCUCAUAUGAGGAUCAGGGAGAGAGAUAUAUCGAAGACAACUACUAGGAGCAAUCACGAGGAAGGAAAGUUUAUUGAUAAGUCUUUCGACCUAAUCAAUGUCUUGCUAAGGUUUAGGUUAUGACUAAUCGAACGUUUAAGGAAUUUUCUUGUUAUCGUCAGAGACGACUUCAAUGACGAUAUGUCGUUGUACACCAAGAUGGAGUUAGUUGGCAAGGAGGGGAAAGUUAUGAUGGUGUUAUGAACAUAACAAUUGUACGCUAAGUUCCCUAAGAGCAAGUUUUGGCUGUCUGAGAUGACAAUUGAGGUUAUGUGUAGUCAAACAGAAAGAUCACAGUGAACCCCGCUAAGUUUGAUGCAGUUACGAGGUGGUCAAGACUGACCACAGUCACUGAGUCAUGUAGUUUAUGGGGGUGUAUGGAGAAAUUGAGAAUGCCCAAAAAAAAAAAAAAAAAAAAAAAAAAAAAAAAAAAAAAAAAAAGGGAAGAGAAGGAAAAACGGCCGGAAAGAAAGGAAUAGAAAUAGGGAGAAAGAAAAUUAUAGAGAGAGGAGGAAAGUUCUAGAGAGAGAGAAGGAGGUAGCCGCCGCUCCGGCCACGAGGAGUCCGGUUCCGGCCGAGCCUUCUUCAUGAAAUCUUCACAGAACUUAGAAGAGAACAUUCUUAACUUUUAGAUCAUCGAAAACCAUCAAGAAAUGAGGAAAAAUCUAAAGAGGAUUACGCUCAAAACCUGAGAAGGAAGUUGUAAUCGAUUCAGAUCGGAAAUGGGAGUUUCGGCGUUCGUCAAAGAGGAGAAAGGAGGAGGCUGCGCUUCGCCGGAGGAGAAGGGCCACGUGUCAAGCGUCCAUUGGAGAAGAAAAAAAAUCAAAGAAAUACUUCGCGUCGGGCGGGAUUCGAUGGCCGGCGGCCCGCUACUCGAGUUCGCGACCCGAUGACCCGCGCGCAACCCGGACCACCGACCCGGCUUCUCGUUGCCACGCGUCAGCGUAAAAGAAUUCGAAUUUCCAGCGCGUCCUUCCGGUUUCGAACCGACGACCUCGACCUCGGCUGACCGUUCAUCGGGGCGCCACGUGGCAACACCUCAGCGCGCGUCUCCCCUCCCUCAUGCGCGUCCGUACGCGCGCGUGGCCGUGCGCGUGUAGCUCCUUCCCAGGCGCGUGUGAGCGCGUGAGGGUUUAAAUGAGAAAAUUCAGUAUUUGUGGACACUCUACUGGUGUAGAAAUGCUCAACGAAGAACACGCGUCAAUCGGGUAAGUCACCACCUGGAACUUUAGGAAGAAAUACUUGCAGGAGUCGCUUGGUUAUGCAUGCAUGCUAGUUUAAUUACCUUAGGUGGUAUUUUUCCAUGAUUGAAUGUAAGUAAUUUGAUUG
Cucurbita moschata (crookneck pumpkin) is the source of this 3617-nucleotide long non-coding RNA. RefSeq lists it as uncharacterized. The transcript is spliced from 6 exons. The record is from RefSeq and is a predicted model, not a curated record. NCBI's taxonomy places the organism in Eukaryota, Viridiplantae, Streptophyta, Magnoliopsida, Cucurbitales, Cucurbitaceae.